Molecule: long non-coding RNA, 639 nt
Organism: Spodoptera frugiperda (fall armyworm)
Lineage: Eukaryota; Metazoa; Arthropoda; Insecta; Lepidoptera; Noctuidae
Exons: 2
Source: RefSeq, a predicted model, not a curated record
AAAUAAAAAUAAGAAAUAAAUUAUUUAUAAAUAAUUCUAUGUCGAUCGUUACACGACUUCGGUUCAUGUUAUUGUUUUAAUUUAUCGAAAAAAAGUAAAUAAAUAGUAAAAAGGUAUGAAAAAAAUAAUAUCAAUAUAAUAAAACAUUUAGUACAAAGAAAAUGCUCUAACGGAGUAUAGAUAAUUCUAUGUCGAUCGUUACACGACUUCGGUUCAUGUUAUUGUUUUAAUUCAUCGAAAAAAGUAAAUAAAUAGUAAAAAGGUAUGAAAAAAAUAAUAUCAAUAUAAUUAAACUUUUAGUACAAAGAAAAUGCCCGAACGGAGUAUAAAUAAAUAAUCCAAGUUGUCUUUAUCCUCGAUAGAUGGUGUUGGGAUCGAAAUAGAUCGCGCUAUGGUUUCGUUACAUUCAUUUGGUUGGGUAUCGGCCGAGCGCUUCGGUACUAUCGUAGAAAAAGUUUAUUAUCAGUCGUAUGAUUAUUUGUCUGUAGUGGUCCUGCUGUUUCGUAUAUUCUAAAUUGGUUUCGUUGUAUUUGUCAAUUAAUAAGUUUAUUUGUUGGGUUUUCCUGGUUUUUUGGUUAAACUAUUUAACGUAGGUUUAGUUUGAUAUCGAUUAUUAGUAGUUACUGUAGUUAGUUUUUU